This 322-nucleotide ribosomal RNA is filed under the name uncultured eukaryote. RNAcentral describes it as "partial 18S ribosomal RNA". It matches the Rfam family "Eukaryotic small subunit ribosomal RNA", at positions 1470 to 1796 of the family's 1831-position model. The record is from RNAcentral.
CCCUUAGAUGUUCCGGGCCGCACGCGUGCUACACUGAGUAAAUCAAUGGGUAAGGGAACACGAAAGUGCAACCUAAUCUUGAAAUUUGCUCGUGAUGGGGAUCGACGGUUGCAAUUUUCCGUCGUGAACGAGGAAUACCUUGUAGGCGCGUGUCAUCAUCACGCGCCGAAUACGUCCCUGCCCUUUGUACACACCGCCCGUCGCUCCUACCGAUUGAGUGAUCCGGUGAGGCUCUGGGACCUGGACGGAAAGAGCGUUUCGCUUGUUCUGUUUGGGAAACUUGGUCGAACCUUAUCAUUUAGAGGAAGGAGAAGUCGUAACA